CCCAGUAAACGGCGGCCGUAACUAUAACGGUCCUAAGGUAGCGAAAUUCCUUGUCGGGUAAGUUCCGACCCGCACGAAAGGCGCAACGAUCUGGGCACUGUCUCAACGAGAGACUCGGUGAAAUUAUAGUACCUGUGAAGAUGCAGGUUACCCGCGACAGGACGGAAAGACCCCGUGGAGCUUUACUGCAACCUGAUAUGGAAUGUUUGUACCGCUUGUACAGGAUAGGUAGGAGCCGAAGAGACGUGUGCGCUAGCAUACGAGGAGGCAAUGGUGGGAUACUACCCUGGCUGUAUGACCAUUCUAACCCGCCACGCUUAGCGCGUGGGGAGACAGUGUCAGGUGGGCAGUUUGACUGGGGCGGUCGCCUCCUAAAGAGUAACGGAGGCGCCCAAAGGUUCCCUCAGAAUGGAUGGAAAUCAUUCGCAGAGUGUAAAGGCACAAGGGAGCUUGACUGCGAGACUGACAAGUCGAGCAGGGACGAAAGUCGGGCUUAGUGAUCCGGUGGUUCCGCAUGGAAGGGCCAUCGCUCAACGGAUAAAAGCUACCCCGGGGAUAACAGGCUUAUCUCCCCCAAGAGUCCACAUCGACGGGGAGGUUUGGCACCUCGAUGUCGGCUCGUCGCAUCCUGGGGCUGUAGUCGGUCCCAAGGGUUGGGCUGUUCGCCCAUUAAAGCGGCACGCGAGCUGGGUUCAGAACGUCGUGAGACAGUUCGGUCCCUAUCCGUCGCGGGCGCAGGAAAUUUGAGAGGAGCUGUCCUUAGUACGAGAGGACCGGGAUGGACACACCGCUGGUGUACCAGUUGUUCCGCCAGGAGCAUCGCUGGGUAGCUAUGUGUGGCAGGGAUAAACGCUGAAAGCAUCUAAGCGUGAAGCCCCCCUCAAGAUGAGAUUUCCCAUUUCUUCGGAAAGUAAGAUCCCUGAAAGAUGAUCAGGUAGAUAGGUUUGGAGUGGAAGUGUAGCGAUACAUGGAGCGGACAAAUACUAAUCGAUCGAGGACUUAACCAA
This 1007-nucleotide ribosomal RNA is filed under the name Listeria monocytogenes. Its description in RNAcentral is "partial 23S ribosomal RNA". It matches the Rfam family "Bacterial large subunit ribosomal RNA", at positions 1919 to 2925 of the family's 2925-position model. The record is from RNAcentral. Lineage: Bacteria; Bacillati; Bacillota; Bacilli; Caryophanales; Listeriaceae.